GUCGAGGGGCAGCGGGGUAGUGCUUGCACUACUGCCGGCGACCGGCGCACGGGUGAGUAACACGUAUGGAACCUGCCCGCAGCAGGGGGAUAAGCGGAAGAAAUUCCGUCUAAUACCGCGUAAGAACGUUGGGAGGCAUCUCCCGAUGUUUAAAGAUUUAUCGGCUGCGGAUGGCCAUGCGGCGCAUUAGCUAGUCGGCGGGGUAACGGCCCACCGAGGCGACGAUGCGUAGGGGUUCUGAGAGGAAGGUCCCCCACACUGGUACUGAGACACGGACCAGACUCCUACGGGAGGCAGCAGUGAGGAAUAUUGGUCAAUGGCCGAGAGGCUGAACCAGCCAAGUCGCGUGAGGGAAGACGGCCCUACGGGUUGUAAACCUCUUUUGUCGGGGAGCAAAGCGAACCACGUGUGGUUCAUUGAGAGUACCCGAAGAAAAAGCAUCGGCUAACUCCGUGCCAGCAGCCGCGGUAAUACGGAGGAUGCGAGCGUUAUCCGGAUUUAUUGGGUUUAAAGGGUGCGCAGGCGGAGGUGCAAGUCAGCGGUCAAAUUGCGGGGCUCAACCCCGUACUGCCGUUGAAACUGCAUCCCUUGAGUGCGCGAGAAGUAUGCGGAAUGCGUGGUGUAGCGGUGAAAUGCAUAGAUAUCACGCAGAACUCCGAUUGCGAAGGCAGCAUACCGGCGCGCAACUGACGCUCAUGCACGAAAGCGUGGGUAUCGAACAGGAUUAGAUACCCUGGUAGUCCACGCAAUAAA
This 753-nucleotide ribosomal RNA is filed under the name uncultured bacterium. RNAcentral describes it as "bacterial SSU rRNA". It matches the Rfam family "Bacterial small subunit ribosomal RNA", at positions 61 to 806 of the family's 1533-position model. The record is from RNAcentral.